Molecule: unclassified non-coding RNA, 260 nt
Filed under: Hevea brasiliensis (rubber tree)
Lineage: Eukaryota; Viridiplantae; Streptophyta; Magnoliopsida; Malpighiales; Euphorbiaceae
Source: RNAcentral
AGAAGAGCUAGCAUGAACACUGGACCCCUGGACUUUCAGGUUCUUCUGCGAUGAAACUGUAGCUGAAGCCAUAUUUACCAUAACUGGUAUUCUUGGAGGAGCAGUUCUUUCAUCUGUUUGUGCAAACCAUUCGCGCAGCCCAGCAACACUAUUUAGCAUUUGCAAGAGACAAUGUUGCUGAAAUGAUGACAAAUAGCCCACACCCCAUCCUUUCAGAUCAAUUUGCAUAAGAUGCUGCACCUGAGUUCUUGGCUUCCCAU